Molecule: ribosomal RNA, 1470 nt
Filed under: metagenome
Description: bacterial SSU rRNA
Rfam family: Bacterial small subunit ribosomal RNA
Source: RNAcentral
AGAGUUUGAUCCUGGCUCAGGACGAACGCUGGCGGCACGCUUAACACAUGCAAGUCGAACGAGAGAAGAGGAGCUUGCUUUUCUGAUCUAGUGGCGGACGGGUGAGUAACACGUGAGCAAUCUGCCUUUCAGAGGGGGAUACCGAUUGGAAACGAUCGUUAAUACCGCAUAACAUAAUUGAACCGCAUGAUUUGAUUAUCAAAGAUUUAUCGCUGAAAGAUGAGCUCGCGUCUGAUUAGCUAGUUGGUAAGGUAACGGCUUACCAAGGCGACGAUCAGUAGCCGGACUGAGAGGCUGAUCGGCCACAUUGGGACUGAGACACGGCCCAGACUCCUACGGGAGGCAGCAGUGGGGAAUAUUGCACAAUGGAGGAAACUCUGAUGCAGCGAUGCCGCGUGAGGGAAGAAGGUUUUAGGAUUGUAAACCUCUGUCUUCAGGGACGAAAAAAGACGGUACCUGAGGAGGAAGCUCCGGCUAACUACGUGCCAGCAGCCGCGGUAAUACGUAGGGAGCGUGCGUUGUCCGGAAUUACUGGGUGUAAAGGGAGCGUAGGCGGGAUCGCAAGUCAGAUGUGAAAACUAUGGGCUUAACCCAUAAACUGCAUUUGAAACUGUGGUUCUUGAGUGAAGUAGAGGUAAGCGGAUUUCCUAGUGUAGCGGUGAAAUGCGUAGAUAUUAGGAGGAACAUCAGUGGCGAAGGCGGCUUACUGGGCUUUAACUGACGCUGAGGCACGAAAGCGUGGGGAGCAAACAGGAUUAGAUACCCUGGUAGUCCACGCCGUAAACGAUGAUUACUAGGUGUGGGGGGACUGACCCCUUCCGUGCCGCAGCAAACGCAAUAAGUAAUCCACCUGGGGAGUACGACCGCAAGGUUGAAACUCAAAGGAAUUGACGGGGGCCCGCACAAGCAGUGGAGUAUGUGGAUUAAUUCGAAGCAACGCGAAGAACCUUACCAGGUCUUGACAUCGUAUGCAUAGCUCAGAGAUGAGUGAAAUCUCUUCGGAGACAUAUAGACAGGUGGUGCAUGGUUGUCGUCAGCUCGUGUCGUGAGAUGUUGGGUUAAGUCCCGCAACGAGCGCAACCCUUACUGUUAGUUGCUACGCAAGAGCACUCUAGCAGGACUGCCGUUGACAAAACGGAGGAAGGUGGGGAUGACGUCAAAUCAUCAUGCCCCUUAUGACCUGGGCCUCACACGUACUACAAUGGCUGUCAACAGAGGGAAGCAAAGCCGCGAGGUGGAGCGAACCCCUAAAAGCAGUCUUAGUUCGGAUUGUAGGCUGCAACCCGCCUACAUGAAGUCGGAAUUGCUAGUAAUCGCAGAUCAGCAUGCUGCGGUGAAUACGUUCCCGGGCCUUGUACACACCGCCCGUCACGCCAUGGGAGUCGGUAACACCCGAAGCCUGUAGUCUAACCGCAAGGAGGACGCAGUCGAAGGUGGGAUUGAUGACUGGGGUGAAGUCGGAACAAGGUA